RNAcentral lists this non-coding RNA (2081 nucleotides) under Pan troglodytes (chimpanzee). The record is from RNAcentral. Lineage: Eukaryota; Metazoa; Chordata; Mammalia; Primates; Hominidae.
GCUAUUUUGCGUAGGGUGCUUUCGCUGCGAUUCCGAGAACCUUUGAAGUCAGUACUGGAGAAGGAUUCGCUGAGAUUCUUCUAGUCCAACACGAUCGUUGUACAGAGGUUCAUUUCCUGUUGAGCAGUUAGAGCAUGUGCAUUAUUUCCUCACAUGACAUCAACAGUGCAGCAUCAGCCUCUGGCAUGUAAAGGCACCCAGUAGACUUAUGCUCUGUGCAAUGGCUGCUUAGCAACCACCAUCAAAUAAAGUAAUGAAGCUUUUGUAGAGUGCGAUAUCAAAUAGCAACUGGCACCUUCACUUGCACCAUUAAAAAACCUUUAACGUUUCCUUCAGUUUUCACAUAUCCAUUAAAAAGUAUAUUAAAAAACAAAACCCAGACUGCUUGAUAAAACAUACUUAAACAAUUUUCCAAGUUUAGUAUUAGCCUCUUGGUAAGUUAUGAGCAAUACCAGAGCUGAGUAAAAGAGUCUUCAUUUUGCUAUCAUACUCCAGCAAAGCCAAUACACAAAACUAGGUAUGUUAGAAAGUCUGCUCUACUAGAUUUAGAGCUGCUUCUAAGUUCCAGACAAAACACCUUUUUAAGCUUCCAAGUGUAUAUACACACGGUGUUGUACCAAGAUAACUUUUUAAAGUCUAAUUUUUUUGGAUAUUCUUAAAUUACUUCACAGAAAGAAAAAAGGCACAGAGGACACUUGGUUUCCUUACCAGUAGUGGCCUUAAGCUACACACUUGCCUGUGCAGAGUUUAAAGAUAUUCAGCAGCAUUAAUGGUGCCAUAGCCAUUCAUAAAAAGUUUCAGGAAAAGAGUUUAAAAAAAGAAGAAAAGCUUGCCAGAAAAGGCUUACAAUCUGAAGGUUAAAUACAGAAGAAUACAGACAAAGACUGGAGGCAGCAUGGGGGUUGUUAACUAGGAAGCUGCUGGGAAUAGCUGCCUUCUGAGUUUUUGUGCCCAUUUUCCUCCAGUUUUCUCCUGAAAAACUCUGGUCUUUUCCCCUCGUUUUUAAAAUGAGAACAUCCUACUAGAUUGGGUUUGGAGGAUAAAUGCAAAUAGGCAGAAGCUUAUUUUAUACAUAGUUCAUUCUCAGAGAGGGAAAGGAGGAUGAUAAAUAUUGAAUGAAGCUAAUUUUAGAAAAUAAACAAAUCCUGUCAACCCAUGCCAUAAAGGCCCAGGGAGCACACUGAAUGAAUCUUACAUUCUGGCAUUUGCAAAAGUGUCCUCAAUUUCCUUUUUCAUUUUAUAAGCACAGCAAUAGGCAACACCUAUUUUAUAUCUAGGAUGGGAAGCCCUCUUAGAUUUGAGGCUUUCCAGCUGAUGCAAUCAAAAACCCAUCAAGGACUGCUUAUAGCAACUUGUGUUGAAAUAUAAAACUACUAUUUUAUUUUAAAGAGACCAUAGUUAAUAACAUGUUCCAAAUGAAGCAGUGACACCCAUUUCUUGAUCCUAUCACUUUUCUUGUCACUUAUGACAUCUCUGGGCUUAGAAAGACAGUGAUAUAAAGAUAAUCCAUAGGGGAAUGUCCCUAGUCAGCAUAUUAAGCUGCACAAUUGAGUAGUGAGCUCAAGUUCACUUAUGAAAGUGGUGUCCACCUACCAACUACACAGGGCUAAGUGGAUAUUUAAAAUGGCUGUGGACAAGGUUGUGCUCAACUUCCUACUUUGUUAAUUGAAGACCUAAGGCUGUGUUAGAAGUAGCUCUUAGAAGUCAGGUCACAAGCUCAAACAAAUAUUAACUAUAUACAUUUUAUAAUCUCAGAAUUUUGUGAAGAAUGAGUAUGUUAGUAAACAUGGCCACAUACUGCAUACAUCUCACUAUGGAAGAGAAAAUAUAAAGUGGUACUCAGUUUACACUAAACCAACAAAAAAGCACAUGGGGUGUAUGUGUGUGUGUAUUUAUAUAUCUCACACACUGAGAUAUACUGUUGAUAUUAGUGUCUUAAAAUGACAUUUUUCAUGGAUAUGAUACCCGUUGCCUAAAUCUACUUAGGCCUAGUCCUUGUAGAAACAGAUUUUCAUAAGAGAAUAAGGGCCCAACAGUCUCCUCACCCCCAUCAAUUGGUAGGAUUGCCCUACCAAUCCUCA